UACGGAGGGGGUAAGCGUUGUUCGGAAUUACUGGGCGUAAAGGGCUCGUAGGCGGCCAACUAAGUCGGACGUGAAAUCCCUCAGCUUAACUGGGGAACUGCGUCCGAUACUGGAUGGCUUGGAUUUGGGAGAGGGAUGCGGAAUUCCAGGUGUAGCGGUGAAAUGCGUAGAUAUCUGGAGGAACACCGGUGGCGAAGGCGGCAUCCUGGACCAAUAUUGACGCUGAGGAGCGAAAGCCAGGGGAGCAAACGGG
RNAcentral lists this ribosomal RNA (253 nucleotides) under uncultured bacterium. RNAcentral describes it as "partial 16S ribosomal RNA". It matches the Rfam family "Bacterial small subunit ribosomal RNA", at positions 524 to 776 of the family's 1533-position model. The record is from RNAcentral.